CUACGGGAGGCACCAGUGGGGAAUAUUGGACAAUGGGGGAAACCCUGAUCCAGCAAUGCCGCGUGUGUGAAGAAGGCCUGCGGGUUGUAAAGCACUUUCGGUUGGGAGGACUGCUUCUAGCACUAAUAUUUUUGGAAGUUGACGUUACCUUCAGAAGAAGCACCGGCUAACUCCGUGCCAGCAGCCGCGGUAAUACGGGGGGUGCAAGCGUUAAUCGGAAUUACUGGGCGUAAAGCGCGCGUAGGCGGCUAGAUCAGUCGGGUGUGAAAGCCCCGGGCUUAACCUGGGAACUGCAUCCGAUACUGUCUAGCUUGAGUACAGGAGAGGAGAGUGGAAUUCCACAUGUAGCGGUGAAAUGCGUAGAUAUGUGGAGGAACACCAAUGGCGAAGGCAGCUCUCUGGCCUGAUACUGACGCUGAGGUGCGAAAGCGUGGGGAGCAAACAGGAUUAGAUACCCCUGUAGUC
RNAcentral lists this ribosomal RNA (465 nucleotides) under uncultured bacterium. RNAcentral describes it as "partial 16S ribosomal RNA". It matches the Rfam family "Bacterial small subunit ribosomal RNA", at positions 339 to 795 of the family's 1533-position model. The record is from RNAcentral.